RNAcentral lists this ribosomal RNA (425 nucleotides) under uncultured bacterium. Its description in RNAcentral is "bacterial SSU rRNA". It matches the Rfam family "Bacterial small subunit ribosomal RNA", at positions 28 to 418 of the family's 1533-position model. The record is from RNAcentral.
GAUGAACGCUGGCGGCAUGCCUAAGACAUGCAAGUCGAACGAGAAGGCCCAAUGAUGAUUGCGUGCUUGCACAAAAUCUGAUUUGGAAUUUCCUUCUAGUGGCAAACGGGUGAGUAACACGUGGGUAACCUACCUCAAAGACUGGGACAACAGUUGGAAACGACUGCUAAUACCGGAUAAUCCAUAUUUAGACAACUAGAUAUGUUAAAAGAAGCGUUUGCUUCACUUUGAGAUGGGCUUGCGGCGCAUUAGAUAGUUGGUGGGUAAUGGCCUACCAAGUCGACGAUGCGUAUCCGAGCUGAGAGGCUGAUCGGACACACUGGGACUGAGACACGGCCCAGACUCCUACGGGAGACAGCAGUUAGGAAUAUUCGUCAAUGGGGGAAACCCUGAACGAGCAAUGCCGCGUGAGUGAUGAAGGCCCU